UAAUGGGGCCAAGGACAAGGGAGGAUAAAUAUGGAUGAGAAGCUACAAACCAAAGGGAAUAGAGGAGCAAUGGGGAACAAGUGCAAAUACAAUCAAAUCACACCCAAACCCUCUAAUUCAAUCCUCUUCUUGACUCCAUUAUACACAACAUUUUUUUUUUUAAUUUUUCUCAUUUUUCUGUAUUUUUUUUCUUUUUUUUUUCUUCAUGUUGUCUCUUUUCUUUUCCUUUCUAUUUAGAACACAACUGUAAGAGACAAGAUACACAUCAUAUUCACAAAAACGAAAACAAGAAGAGGAACCAACUAGCCAAUUAAUCUGAAUCCCCCGGGAGACCACACUUAUUCCCAAAACAAUUCCAAAGCUCCAAAAUUCCCUAAGGUUAAGGUAAUCAUGGUUUUUUGUUUUUAACUUAGGGCUAGUGUAUGAGCUUCAAAACAAAGAAAUGGGGAAAGUAAAGGCUCAAAGGGGCUAUCAACGGAUCACAACAAGGUAGGCUCAUUUGGC
RNAcentral lists this long non-coding RNA (504 nucleotides) under Vigna radiata. Its description in RNAcentral is "long non-coding RNA (VRAD_LNC000664)". Lineage: Eukaryota; Viridiplantae; Streptophyta; Magnoliopsida; Fabales; Fabaceae. The record is from RNAcentral.